CAAUAGCGUAUAUUAAAGUUGUUGCGGUUAAAAGCUCGUAGUUGGAUUUCUGCCGAGGAUGACCGGUCCGCCCUGUGGGUGUGCAUCUGGCUCAGCCUUGGCAUCUUCCUGAAGAACGUAGCUGCACUUGACUGUGUGGUGCGGUAUUUAGGACAUUUACUUUGAGGAAAUUAGAGUGUUCAAAGCAGGCAGCUCGCCUGAAUAAUGGUGCAUGGAAUAAUAGAAAAGGACCUCGGUUCUAUUUUGUUGGUUUCCGGAACUUGAGGUAAUGAUUAAGAGGGACAGACGGGGGCAUUCGUAUUACGGUGUUAGAGGUGAAAUUCUUGGAUCGCCGUAAGACGAACUACUGCGAAAGCAUUUGCCAAGAAUGUUUUCAUUAAUCAAGAACGAAAGUCAGAGGUUCGAAGACGAUCAGAUACCAU
This 422-nucleotide ribosomal RNA is filed under the name uncultured eukaryote. RNAcentral describes it as "bacterial SSU rRNA". It matches the Rfam family "Eukaryotic small subunit ribosomal RNA", at positions 592 to 1018 of the family's 1831-position model. The record is from RNAcentral.